UGGCAGAUUGGUUCUUCCUUUACUGAAGC
This 29-nucleotide non-coding RNA is filed under the name Rattus norvegicus (Norway rat). Lineage: Eukaryota; Metazoa; Chordata; Mammalia; Rodentia; Muridae. The record is from RNAcentral.